This 392-nucleotide unclassified non-coding RNA is filed under the name uncultured fungus. RNAcentral's name for it is "partial internal transcribed spacer 1". The record is from RNAcentral. Lineage: Eukaryota; Fungi.
UUUUUAGGUCGGGCAGUGCUCGAAAUUCUCACGUACAACGUAUACGCUCCGGUUUCUGCGCGCUGCCCGGCUUCACACUGGCUCCAACAAGUACGCCCACUGGACCAGGUUCCUGGCGUCACAUAACGUCACCUGUUUAUCCACAAAAGGCUCAAUAAAUAAACAUUUUGAGCACGAAAAAUUACAGUGUCAGAGAAUGAAAUGGCGAUUCGCUGUCUUCAAGCAGUGCUUUAGUACCUUGCACGCGUUCUUUCGCGCUAUAUUCUUUUAUUACUGAGCCAAGAAUACCGUCCAGUCGGCCAUUCCACUCUAAAUACAUGAUAAGAUAAGAAGCGCUGAGUUGCUCCCAUGAUGAGAAUUGUUGCUGAAUGAGUCCGCCGAUAGUAUUUAAA